UGUCACUAUAGUUAUGGCUGAUGG
Molecule: non-coding RNA, 24 nt
Filed under: Arabidopsis thaliana (thale cress)
Lineage: Eukaryota; Viridiplantae; Streptophyta; Magnoliopsida; Brassicales; Brassicaceae
Source: RNAcentral